This 30-nucleotide non-coding RNA is filed under the name Mus musculus (house mouse). Lineage: Eukaryota; Metazoa; Chordata; Mammalia; Rodentia; Muridae. The record is from RNAcentral.
UGGUGAAUUUUGAAUUUGUUUUUUGGUCAG